RNAcentral lists this ribosomal RNA (147 nucleotides) under Staphylococcus warneri. Its description in RNAcentral is "partial 23S ribosomal RNA". It matches the Rfam family "Bacterial large subunit ribosomal RNA", at positions 2779 to 2925 of the family's 2925-position model. Lineage: Bacteria; Bacillati; Bacillota; Bacilli; Caryophanales; Staphylococcaceae. The record is from RNAcentral.
AUCUAAGCAUGAAGCCCCCCCUCAAGAUGAGAUUUCCCAACUUCGGUUAUAAGAUCCCUCAAAGAUGAUGAGGUUAAUAGGUUCGAGGUGGAAGCGUGGUGACACGUGGAGCUGACGAAUACUAAUCGAUCGAAGACUUAAUCAAAA